RNAcentral lists this long non-coding RNA (314 nucleotides) under Sorghum bicolor (sorghum). Its description in RNAcentral is "long non-coding RNA (SBIC_LNC005809)". The record is from RNAcentral. Lineage: Eukaryota; Viridiplantae; Streptophyta; Magnoliopsida; Poales; Poaceae.
GAAAAUCCUCUGCAAGAGGUACUGUGCAGGCAGGAAAACAAUUAGCUAGUAGCAACAUAGGUUCUUAUGGUCAAUACCACGAGGACAAUAGAGUGGUGAAGAACAAAACCAGUGGUCCUGGAGGAGCCCCUAAAAGAAAAUCUUCUGAAUUCUCGGGUGGUGAUGCUGCAGCACGUGCUAAGAUUAUUAAGGAUGUCUCACAUCCUCCUUUGGAGCUCAGAGACUUGGAAAAACAUAAAGCUGCAGCACUACCUGUUGACUAUGCACAUAAGUCAAAAACCAGUGAGACAUUUGAUUAUGCUUAUCAAGUUUAC